UCCUGCAUCCCGAAAGUGAUCACGGGCCACCCAUGCCCUGGUCAUUGAUACCACAGGGAGAGGAACGCUGAAAGAAGUUUCCCCGUGUUUGAAGGGUCCAGAUGUCCCUUCCAAACCCUGGAGCUUUCCCACA
Molecule: small nucleolar RNA, 133 nt
Filed under: Propithecus coquereli (Coquerel's sifaka)
Lineage: Eukaryota; Metazoa; Chordata; Mammalia; Primates; Indriidae
Description: Small nucleolar RNA SNORA71 (ENSPCOG00000005410.1)
Rfam family: Small nucleolar RNA SNORA71
About the family: The members of this family belong to the H/ACA class of snoRNAs which bind a number of proteins (including dyskerin, Gar1p and Nop10p) to form snoRNP complexes. This class of snoRNAs are thought to guide the sites of modification of uridines to pseudouridines by forming direct base pairing interactions with substrate RNAs. This family includes U71 (SNORA71), ACA39 (SNORA39) and ACA60 (SNORA60).
Source: Rfam by way of RNAcentral